UACGGAGGGGGCUAGCGUUGUUCGGAAUUACGGGGCGUAAAGCGCACGUAGGCGGCUUUGUAAGUUAGAGGUGAAAGCCCGGGGCUCAACCCCGGAAUUGCCUUUAAGACUGCAUCGCUAGAAUUGUGGAGAGGUAAGUGGAAUUCCGAGUGUAGAGGUGAAAUUCGUAGAUAUUCGCAAGAACACCAGUGGCGAAGGCGGCUCACUGGCCCGGUACUGACGCUGAGGUGCGAAAGCGUGGGGAGCAAACAGG
RNAcentral lists this ribosomal RNA (253 nucleotides) under uncultured bacterium. RNAcentral's name for it is "partial 16S ribosomal RNA". It matches the Rfam family "Bacterial small subunit ribosomal RNA", at positions 524 to 776 of the family's 1533-position model. The record is from RNAcentral.